GAUGAACGCUGGCGGCGUGCCUAAUACAUGCAAGUCGAGCGAACAGACGAGGAGCUUGCUCCUCUGACGUUAGCGGCGGACGGGUGAGUCACACGUGGAUAACCUCCCUAUAAGACUGGGAUAAUUUCGGGAAACCGGAGCUAAUACCGGAGAAUAUAUUGAACCGCAUGGUUCAAUAGUGAAAGACGGUUUUGCUGUCACUUAUAGAUGGAUCCGCGCCGCAUUAGCUAGUUGGUAAGGUAACGGCUUACCAAGGCAACGAUGCGUAGCCGACCUGAGGGGGUGAUCGGCCACACUGGAGCUGAGACACGGUCCAGACUCCUACGAGAGGCAGCAGUAGGGAAUCUUCCGCAAUGGGCGAAAGCCUGACGGAGCAACGCCGCGUGAGUGAUGAAGGUCUUCGGAUCGUAAUACUCUGUUAUUAGUGAAGAACAAAUGUGUAAGUAACUAUGCACGUCUUGACGGUACCUAAUCAGAAAGCCACGGCUAACUACGUG
Molecule: ribosomal RNA, 497 nt
Filed under: uncultured bacterium
Lineage: Bacteria
Description: partial 16S ribosomal RNA
Rfam family: Bacterial small subunit ribosomal RNA
Source: RNAcentral